CGGAGGAACAUGUAGUUAAUUCGAUGAUACGCGAGGAACCUUACCUGGGCUUAAAUGGGGAGUGACAGCUGGCGAAAGUUGGUUUUCUUCGGACACUCUUCAAGGUGCUGCAUGGUUGUCGUCAGCUCGUGCCGUGAGGUGUCGGGUUAAGUCCCAUAACGAGCGCAACCCUUACUGUUAGUUGCCAGCGGGUCAAGCCGGGAACUCUAACGGGGACUGCCACCGUAAGGUGAGAGGAAGGUGGGAUGACGUCAAAUCAGCACGGCCCUUAUGUCCAGGGCUACACACGUGUUACAAUGGCCGGCACAGAGGGCAGCUACCUGGUGACAGGAUGCUAAUCUCGAAAACCGGUCUCAGUUCGGAUCGAAGUCUGCAACUCGACUUCGUGAAGCUGGAUUCGCUAGUAAUCGCGCAUCAGCCAUGGCGCGGUGAAUACGUUCCCGGGCCUU
This 449-nucleotide ribosomal RNA is filed under the name uncultured Sphingobacteriales bacterium. RNAcentral describes it as "bacterial SSU rRNA". It matches the Rfam family "Bacterial small subunit ribosomal RNA", at positions 930 to 1382 of the family's 1533-position model. Lineage: Bacteria; Pseudomonadati; Bacteroidota; Sphingobacteriia; Sphingobacteriales. The record is from RNAcentral.